This 253-nucleotide ribosomal RNA is filed under the name uncultured bacterium. RNAcentral's name for it is "partial 16S ribosomal RNA". It matches the Rfam family "Bacterial small subunit ribosomal RNA", at positions 524 to 776 of the family's 1533-position model. The record is from RNAcentral.
UACGUAGGGUGCAAGCGUUAUCCGGAAUUAUUGGGCGUAAAGAGCUCGUAGGCGGUUUGUCACGUCUGCUGUGAAAACUGGAGGCUCAACCUCCAGCCUGCAGUGGGUACGGGCAGACUAGAGUGCGGUAGGGGAGAUUGGAAUUCCUGGUGUAGCGGUGGAAUGCGCAGAUAUCAGGAGGAACACCGAUGGCGAAGGCAGAUCUCUGGGCCGUAACUGACGCUGAGGAGCGAAAGCGUGGGGAGCGAACAGG